UAUGUGAUCGUCUCUCGCAUAUCAAUAAGCGGAGGAAAAGAAACUAACAAGGAUUCCCUUAGUAACGGCGAGUGAAGCGGGAAGAGCUCAAAUUUGAAAUCUUCAAGGUUUUACCUUGACGAAUUGUAGUUUAAAGAAGUGUUUUCUGUUGAAGUUUUGGUAAAAGUUCUUUGGAAUAGGACAUCAUAGAGGGUGGAGAAUCCCGUAUUUGACCAUUAUUUUCAGCUGUGUGAUACACUUUCAAAGAGUCGGAUUGUUUGGGAAUGCAGUCCAAAAUGGGUGGUAAAUUUCAUCUAAAGCUAAAUAUUGGCGAGAGACCGAUAGCGAACAAGUACCGUGAGGGAAAGAUGAAAAGAACUUUGAAAAGAGAGUUAAACAGUACGUGAAAUUGUCAAAAGGGAAGCGUUUGACACCAGUGUUGUUUUCUCGAAAAUCAAUUAAAAAGAGUUUGAUUUUGUUGUGUAUUGACCUUAACAGCUUGCAUUUCAAUUUUCUUGCUUUUUUUAAUGCACUUUUCGUUUAACAAGUCAACAUCAGUUUCUUUUGUUGUAAAAAGGUCAUUGGAAGGUGGCUUUCUUUUCGGAGAAAGUGUAUAUAGCCUUUGACUCCUGCAAUCGGAGAGACUGAGGUCUGCAGCGUAGAUCCUUCGGGGUUAGAUACAUUUGUGCUAAGUUAUAGCUUUUUAUAGACAACUUGUUGACUAUGAUUAGUCUUGUAGCUUACUCGCUUAUGCUAUUUUACCUACGCUUAGGAUGUUGAAGAUGUAGCACAUCAU
This 775-nucleotide ribosomal RNA is filed under the name uncultured Neocallimastigales. Its description in RNAcentral is "partial large subunit ribosomal RNA". It matches the Rfam family "Eukaryotic large subunit ribosomal RNA", at positions 24 to 620 of the family's 3401-position model. Lineage: Eukaryota; Fungi; Neocallimastigomycota; Neocallimastigomycetes; Neocallimastigales. The record is from RNAcentral.